Molecule: long non-coding RNA, 1943 nt
Filed under: Anas platyrhynchos platyrhynchos (common mallard)
Lineage: Eukaryota; Metazoa; Chordata; Aves; Anseriformes; Anatidae
Description: lncRNA (ENSAPLG00000017789.1)
Source: RNAcentral
GAUACUUUCUUCUCCCCUGCUCUUCUUUUGAGGAGGAGGAGUAAAAGAGUGUUUGUAGUGGAGUUUAGUUGUCCAGAGGGUAAAACUGCCACACAAAUGAGCCUCUUGAAUAGGUUAACAAGUCACUUGUAAUUCAUUUCAUUCUUAGAUUCAGUCUGCAGUCUGCAUGCAGUAAUUUCCAGCUGACAAGACUUUUUUUUAUUGCCAUCUCUUUGUAUUUCAGCUUUUAAUUAUUCCAUAAUGACAGUCUUUGUGAACAACAGUUUUUAAAGCGACAGAUGUAGUGACUUCUGCAUUUUCUGAUAUUAGCAUGCAAAUCAACAUAAAACAUAGCCAGCUUUUUAUAGUCAGCUUUUUUUUUUUUUUUUUUUUUUUUUUUUUGGCAUGUUCUAUAUUGCUUGACACCAGAAUACUUACUGCUUGGAAAGAUGGAGGGAAAAACACUGUGUUUCAUAGCACUAUACAUCAUAAAAGAGCUAUCUGUAAUGACCACAUCAUCAGAUAAUAAUUUUCAAAAUUCCCAUCAUACUUUACCAAACAUGUCCUCAGUUAAACUCCUCCAAACCUGUUUAUUUGAAUUGAAAACAGAGGCUCACUGAGUUAAAUUGCAAGAAGCUUUCUCACCGAGUCACAGAAGAUGACAAAAUAAAGCAACCGAAACCUUAAGUGUAACACAAGAUGCUGAUCCUCCAGCUGACUGCCUAAGCUGCCUAUGGGACUCAUCUGGAAUACUAUUUUCAAGAGUAUUGUCAAGCUAAAUAUGCUACAACAAGAUCCAGUAUUGUCUCAGCCCUCUCCAGAUAUGCAAGGAGUUGUCUGCAAUUCAGUCCAUUUAUCUUCCAACACUGGCUCUUCUGCUGCAGUUUUUUACCUCUGUGCUCCAUUAAGAGUCUAUUAUGUGACAUUUAUCUACUCUUAUAUUCUUCAUUCUCCAAUUUUCUGAAAACUGCCAGAAUAUUCCCUGUUCUAUAAGAAAUCCAAGUGGCAUGAUUUAGAUGGGAGAUCUGCAAAAUGAAUGCAGCAUUGUUCUGUUCAUUGACAGAGUUGAUCAUUGAGCACUGUUCUACACCUUACCUGUUUCUCUGUUAGAAACCUAGAAUACUUGCUGUUGUUAGGUUUGGGACUCCCAGUUUCUUAGAUCUCCCCUUGCCCAACGGCAUUGCCAGGAGGAUGUGUUUGUUUUCUCCAGAUUCUCAAUGAAAAUUGUAACCACUGGGAUCAGUCAGAUUUGUGAUCAGUUUUGAUAAAUCCUGCUAUAAGAUACUGAUAUCAGAUUGAUAUAUCAGUUUCAGCAAACAGUUUUGCCAUUUUAAAUCUCAUGUUUUCAAAGUUUUUGUGGAGACCAAAACAAAUCGUUUCAUGAUUUAUAUGUCGCAGACACAUUUUCAUGCCAGUUUUUCCUCACUGUGUAGUUGUCGUUUCUCAGAUGAAUUUAACUUAACCCCUUGUACUCCUUCUUUGCUUGCACUGGUACUCUUCACCCUGCAUAAUCCAUAUUAAAUUUAGCAGCCAUUGUGCUCUGAAUUUCUGUUCUAAUACAGUUACCAAUGAUUUUAAGCUCCCUAGGCUUUUUUUUUCUUCUUUUUUUUUCUUUCUUUUUUUUUUUUUUAAUAUAUGCAGGACUGUAGGACAUGAUAUUAGAAGUUUUCAGACCUUGGCUCCUUGUCUUAUCUGCCUUUUAGCAGUAAAAUGUGUAAACCAUAUUAGAUUUAGAGAUCCAUCACACAUGCUGACAUAAGGAGAUGCUUAUGUUUCCUGUUCAUCACAAGCACUCCCAUAAAAUGAAUUAUAUUUUCAGCAAAGUAUAUAUUUCUGGCUGUUUUGAAUGGAAAUGAAAUUAUUUGAUUUAUGAGUCCAUGAAUAAUGUGACAUUACUGGUUUUUGUGCUGAUUAACUUUUUAUUUUGAAAUAUUAAGCCCCUUGCCUUAUUCUAUAUAUCUUCA